This 67-nucleotide transfer RNA is filed under the name Abrus yunshanensis. Its description in RNAcentral is "tRNA-Val". The record is from RNAcentral. Lineage: Eukaryota; Metazoa; Arthropoda; Insecta; Hemiptera; Cicadellidae.
CAAACUAUAGCUUAUUUAUUAAAGCUUUUUAGUUACAUUAAUAGGAAAAAUUUUUUAUUUAGUUUGA